RNAcentral lists this ribosomal RNA (380 nucleotides) under uncultured eukaryote. RNAcentral's name for it is "partial 18S ribosomal RNA". It matches the Rfam family "Eukaryotic small subunit ribosomal RNA", at positions 592 to 976 of the family's 1831-position model. The record is from RNAcentral.
CAAUAGCGUAUAUUAAAGUUGUUGCGGUUAAAAAGCUCGUAGUUGGAUUUCUGCCGAGGACGACCGGUCCGCCCUCCGGGUGAGUAUCUGGUUUGGCCUGGGCAUCUUCUUGGAGAACGUAGCUGCACUUGACUGUGUGGUGCGGUGUCCAGGACUUUUACUUUGAGGAAAUUAGAGUGUUUCAAGCAGGCACACGCCUUGAAUACAUUAGCAUGGAAUAAUAAGAUAGGACCUCGGUUCUAUUUUGUUGGUUUCUAGAGCUGAGGUAAUGAUUAAUAGGGAUAGUUGGGGGCAUUCGUAUUUAACUGUCAGAGGUGAAAUUCUUGGAUUUGUUAAAGGCGGACUACUGCGAAAGCAUUUGCCAAGGAUGUUUUCAUUGA